This 331-nucleotide small RNA is filed under the name Fukomys damarensis (Damara mole-rat). Its description in RNAcentral is "7SK RNA (ENSFDAG00000001580.1)". The stretch from base 1 to 179 matches the Rfam family "7SK RNA". From Rfam's summary of the family: 7SK was discovered as an abundant small nuclear RNA in the mid-70s but a possible function has only recently been suggested. Two independent studies have found that 7SK RNA binds the CDK9/cyclin T complex (known as elongation factor P-TEFb). Lineage: Eukaryota; Metazoa; Chordata; Mammalia; Rodentia; Bathyergidae. The record is from RNAcentral.
GGAUGUGAGGGUGAUCAGGCUGUGACAUCUGUCACCCCAGUGAUCUCCAGUGUUGAUUCUGAGGAUCUGGCUGGCUAGGCAGGUGUCCCCUUCCUCCCUCACUGCUCCAGGUACAUCCCUCCCAAAACUGCAUGCUCAGUUGAAGAGGACGGUGCCUCCGGACAGAAGAGGACCACAGUGAAUGCUAACACUCUCUUACUGAAAUGGCCCACCAUUUCCCCAGGGUGCAUGUUUUCCCUCACCCCAGAGUAACAAGCCCAACUUGUUCACCCAUGUGUGGUGUGUUCCUGUGCCUUUGGCUGGUCACCAGUGACAAGCAGUACCAUCUCAU